This 744-nucleotide long non-coding RNA is filed under the name Homo sapiens (human). RNAcentral describes it as "HSALNT0387721". The record is from RNAcentral. Lineage: Eukaryota; Metazoa; Chordata; Mammalia; Primates; Hominidae.
CCCCACCCCCAGUCGCUACAGAAGAAAAAAAAAAAAAUUAACCGGGCGUGGUGUCUCGCGCCCAGUGGUCCUAGCUCCUCGGGAAGUCAUCAGAGAUGCCAGACCAGAGGAAAUACAGCAAUCAAAGCAGGCAAACCUGUUGCUAAAUGUGUUUUUGAGAGUAAAACUCCUUGGCCAAAUACUUCAAGACGCUGAUGAUUCUCAAAACUGUCAUCAUGAACCAUCUGGAGAAGGCCAGAUGUUUACAUUUCACGGAAAUGUGGUCCUGAAACCUUCAUUCUGAGCGCAGAGCUAACCACCUCCUCCUAUUCUUGGCAACACUAGUAAAUGAUACAUUACCACAGAGCAGGUGAAAUGCAGCAGAGACAUCUACGCUAGAACCUGAGGGUUGCUAUGUUGUAAGAAGCAUGCCCAGGUUUAUACUAGGACGCUCGGCUGGAGCAUUGGUUCACCGCUGUCCACUAUUUUAAAGACAUGCCAGAAAUAACAAUCCUAUUAUCUGAUUUCCAAGUAAGUCAGGAUGUUCCUACUAACAGCCCUUCCUUUUAUGGUAGUGAGAAUAGUCUAGAAACUUAGUGUUUUAUGAUAAUUCAUGUGCCGUGGCUCUCUUCCAGGAGAUUUUAAUCUCCCUCUGGCCUUGUCUUAUUCACCUUUAUGUCCCAGGACAAAAAUGUUGGACUGUUUGUUAUAUGUUAAUAAGUGGGCUGGGCGCGGUGGCUCACGCCUGUAAUCCCAGCACUUUGG